RNAcentral lists this ribosomal RNA (220 nucleotides) under uncultured bacterium. Its description in RNAcentral is "partial 16S ribosomal RNA". It matches the Rfam family "Bacterial small subunit ribosomal RNA", at positions 114 to 334 of the family's 1533-position model. The record is from RNAcentral.
CACGUGAGAAACCUGCCCUGGAGUGGGGAAUAACUCGGGGAAACUCGAGCUAAUACCGCAUACCCUCGGAUGGUCGCAUGGCCGACCGAGGAAAGAUUUAUCGCUUCAGGAGGGUCUCGCGGCCUAUCAGCUAGUUGGUGGGGUAACGGCCUACCAAGGCAACGACGGGUAGCUGGUUUGAGAGAACGAUCAGCCACACUGGGACUGAGACACGGCCCAG